GACGAACGCUGGCGGCGUGCCUAAUACAUGCAAGUCGAGCGAACAGACGAGGAGCUUGCGCGUCUGUCGUUAGCGGCGGACGGGUGAGUAACACGUGGAUAACCUACCUAUAUGACGGGGAAAAUUUCGGGAAACCGGCGAUAAUAGCGGAUAAUAUACUGAACCGCAGGGUUCAAUAGUGAAAGACGGUUGUGGUGGCAGUAAUAGAUGCAUCCGAGCCGCAUUAGCGAGUUGGUAAGGUAACGGCUUAUCACGGCGACGAUGCGUAGCCGACGUGAGAGGGUGAUCGGCCACACUGGAGCUGCGCCGCGGUCCAGGCUCCUGCGGGAGGCCGCAGUAGGGAAUCUUCCGCAGUAGGCGAAAGCCUGACGGAGCAGCGCCGCGUGAGUGAUGAAGGUCUUCGGAUCGUAAAGCUCUGUUAUUAGGGGAAAACAAAUGUGUAAGUAGCUAUGCACGUCUUGACGGUACCUGGUCAGAAAGCCCCGGCUAACUACGUG
This 497-nucleotide ribosomal RNA is filed under the name uncultured bacterium. Its description in RNAcentral is "partial 16S ribosomal RNA". It matches the Rfam family "Bacterial small subunit ribosomal RNA", at positions 28 to 507 of the family's 1533-position model. The record is from RNAcentral.